AGGGACGGGACGUGGUGCAGUGUUGUUCUUUCCCCUGCCAAUAUUGCACUCGUCCCGGCCUCC
This 63-nucleotide microRNA precursor is filed under the name Mus musculus (house mouse). RNAcentral's name for it is "Mmu-Mir-92-P1d_pre stem-loop". Lineage: Eukaryota; Metazoa; Chordata; Mammalia; Rodentia; Muridae. The record is from RNAcentral.